This 8475-nucleotide long non-coding RNA is filed under the name Sorghum bicolor (sorghum). RNAcentral's name for it is "long non-coding RNA (SBIC_LNC001175)". The record is from RNAcentral. Lineage: Eukaryota; Viridiplantae; Streptophyta; Magnoliopsida; Poales; Poaceae.
AAUUGAUUGCUCCCCCGCAGGCUGCAGCCCGUCGUAACCCUAACCCUCUGGAUCCCGCUCGUGGCUUGCCCGCCGCUCUCCAAUCUCCACUCGUACUUCACACCCAUCCUCUGAUGGAUCCUCGCUAGCCCCUUCCUCGUUGACGGCAUGGUUGUGUGGUAGCCAUAUGGCGUGGGAUGUGGCGGCGGCGGCGGCGGCGGCGGCUCAUCUGGAUGUAGCACCAGCACAGGCGGCAAUAGUGUCGCUGGAUGCUGAGAAGCGGUGGCGACGUUGGAUGUGGCACCCGUGGGCGGCGAUGGUGGAGCUAGAUGCGGCAACAGCGUGGGAGGCAGCACAAGCCCGGUGACCCACGUCGACUUCCCCAACAGCUUUGCCUUUGCCGUCACCACAUCAUACCUCUGCAUACCAGGUUGGUUACCGACUGCUGCCACCAUCCCCAUCUCAUCUCAUCUCAUCUCAUCUCACGUGUUCCCGCAUUUUAAAACUGGUACUUGUCUAUCAGUAUUCAAUCAUAUUUAGUUCUAUACAUAAAUGUUUAUUUCAAAAUAGCUACUAAAGUUUUAUGACCAAUUCAUACCUUUACAAUCGGACAGUGAGUUAUGCUCUAGCCAAAAAAUAAUUAACUGACACAAAUUGCCUAGAUAUGGAAAACAUGCAGCAAUAUAUUGAUUCAUCAGGGACAGCGAUAAAAAUGGUUUGGUAAAUAUAUGGUUUCUAUUAGGAUUUUGUGUAGUCGUAUUGCAACAUUUCUGCCUGCAUAUGUAGUUCUGCAUUAGUAAAGUCUAGUGUCAGUAUGACAGUAUCAAUUUCAUAUGCUGUUUAAUGCCUGGUGACAGACAUUCCACCAUUUGAGCUCUUGUUUCCAUUGUGACAUCAUGACGGCUUUUGAGCCAAAAAUGUAUAUACCUGUAUAUUAAAUUUGAUUUGGAUUUCUCUACAGACUACAUGUGUUUCCAUGUUAUAAUAAUUCGCCUGUCUGCUUAGUUAGCACUUUGCUUUACCUCAAGUCAUAAUUUGCCUGUCUGCAUAGUUAGCACUUUGCAUAAUUUGCUUGCCUGCAUAGUGCAUAGUGAGUCGGCUCUUCACAACUAUUGGUAAGCUAUUUUAUUAGUGUCACAGCUUGCAUGCAGUUACUUUAUGAAGCCCAAACAUUGUUCCUAGCAGCGUGUUUGUACUUGUUAAUACUUUAAUUCUUUUCUCAGUUUGUUUGCGUCACUUCUUACAGUAGCUAGAAAGUGGUUCCUCAAUUUCAUUUGAUAUGAUCAUAAUAUUGUUAUUGUAGCCAUUUCAAGGUUGGUUUAGUUUGAUGAUAUUAACUGAGCUAACUCUUGAUUUCAAUCACGUAACCUUUCGAGUGUCAUUUCUAUUCUCUUCUUUAUCUAUGAGCUAGAACUAAUAGAAUGCAUGUGUGCAGGGGCAGGCCCAGGCCUAGGGCCAGUAGGGCCAUGGCCCUAGUCGUGGACCAAAAAUUUUAGGAGCAACUGUUUAUUUUUUUGGCCCAAGAAAGAAGCCCACGAGAAGACUAGCGCACAGACCACAGAGAAGUCGCAACGCUCACCCUCGCGUCGUCCCCUUCCCUCACGUAGUCACGCGGUCGCGCCGUCCUCGGCCCUUGCUCGCACGCGAAGGCGAAGUCCGCUGUGGCCAGGGGCGCCGUCGCCCGUCUGCCGUCCGCCCGUCCCCUCCCCUCGCAGUCGUAGGAAGGCAAGGCACUAGGGCCGACCGGCGACCGCGGCCGUCCGCUUGUCCCCUGCCGGCCUGCUUGGCUGCCCGCCGGCCGCCGUCCCGGGCUGGGCCUGCUCGCCCCUCGCCCUCGCCCAGAGGCUGUCCGCGACACAGCUCGGAGGCAGGGGCCGGACCUGGUCGGAGCCGAGCCAGAAGCCCCCUGCUCCCUGUCCGGCUGUUUCCCUGCUGACCUGCGUGGCUGCCGCCUGCCAACGCCCAGGGGAGCUGAAGCCCUCUUGUCCAGAAGCGUGGUCGUGAACGUGGAGUGAAGCUAAGGUAUUCACUCAAAUUUUGAGGAGUUCAGUUCUUUUCUCUUGAUUUCAACUGUUAAUUGUGUAUUUUUAUUUUAUUGUAAUUAGUCUUUUAGACGAAGAGGACAAGGAAUAUUGCAUCAUAUUUCUCCCGAGUUUGUGAACAAGAACAACGAAUCAUCCAAUCUCCACUGCUGCCAGAUCCAGAGCAAGAACAACGAAUCAUCCAUUCUUCACUAGACAAUAGGUAUUUAUUUUUUAAUGUUCAUUGAUAUUACAUAGCUACUGUAUUGUAGUAUUAAUUAUAUAGUUCAAGAAUUUCUUGGAUUUGCAAACUUUGCUUGAGAAUUUCUAUUUUCCUGUAACAUAUAUGUAUAUAUAUAGUUGUCAAGGGCCUGGCGAUCAAGGGUAGGCGGCCCUCGGCUACGAAGAUCGUAGCCUCCUACCGUUCUUCCGAUCCGGAGGUUAUACCCCUCACAGUCGACCGGGCUUGAGAGGUUUAGGGAGAGAGAGAGAGUUUAGAUAAAUGAUCUUGCUUGCUUUAUUCCCAAAGUCCUUCUCUCAUACAUAUAGCCCAUUGGCUGAGAUUAGAAGGAAAGCAACUAAUCCUUUCCUAUAAUCUAGGAUCUAAUCAAAUCUCCCAACCAAUCUUUCCUAACCAAUCUUUCCUAACUCAGCCUAGCCCCUGGCCGUGGCCUGGCCGUCGCGCGUGUCGAGCUGGGCGCGCUCUGCGCGCUCCUCAGCCCUUCUCAUGUCACGGCUGCGCCUGCGGCGUACAUAAGAUUGGCCCCACAUGACAUCUCUCACCCCCUCGAGACCCAGCUUGUCCCCGAGCUGAAAUUCUGGAUAAGAGACGCGGAAGUCGUCGAGGUCCUCCCAUGAAGCUGAAGACUCUGGUUCGCCGCGCCAGUAGACCAAGACUUGAGUGAUGCCACGGACCUUGCGAGCUUGAGUGACACAUUCAGGUGCCGGCACAACAGCGCCAUGUCGGAUGUCCGGCAAAGGAGGCGGGGUGGACGGGGGAGGCCCAUGGAACUUCUUGAGGGUCCCGAUGUGGAACACGUCGUGGAUGCGGGCCUGCGGGGGAAGCUCAAGCCGCACAGCCACUUCAUUGAUCUUCUGGACGAUGCGGUACGGACCCAAGUAGCGAGCCUUCAGUUUGCCUGCCGAGUGCGGCAAAGAUGCCACUGGUUGCUGACGGAAACGCAGCAGGACCCAAUCACCCACCGCAUAGGAGACAUGGCGGUGAUGACGGUCGUAGUGCAGCUUCUGCACUGCCUGGGCCUGUUCCAGACGAUGGCGCACCUCCGUGAGGAACUCCGUGCGUUCCUCCAUGUCUCGUGCCACGGCUGCGACUCUGGUGUCGCCGGGCUCAUAAGAGCGUAUAGUCGGGGGGUCGCGACCGUAGACCACGCGGAACGGCGUCUCCUGGAGUGAAGCUUGGUAGGCCGUGUUGUAGACAUACUCCGCCCAAGGCAGCCACCGGAGCCACUGGCGAGGGCGGUCCCCCGUAAAGCAACGGAGAUACAUAACGAUGACGCAGUUGGCCGCCUCGGAUUGGCCGUCCGACUGAGGGUGGAAGGCGGAGGUCAUAUGCAGCUUGGAGCCCAUCAGGCGCAUGAGCUCACGCCAAAAGGCCGACGUGAACACAGGAUCCCGGUCGGAGACGAUGGACUGUGGUAUGCCGUGUAGACGGAUGAUGUUGGUGAAGAACGCCUGGGCCACGAACUCAGCAGUGUACAGAUGGCCAAGCGCGAUGAAGUGGCCAUACUUACUGAAGUGAUCGACGACGGAGAGGAUGACCGACUUCCCUUCGACUCGCGGCAACGCCUCGAUGAAGUCCAUGCCGAUAUCAGCCCAAACUGCGGAUGGUAUCGGAAGUGGCUGCAGGAGUCCCGCCGGUAACAGGUGCUCUGACUUAAAGCGUUGACAGGUGGCGCAGCCCCGCACAAAGUCCUGCACGAUGCGGCGCAUGUGGGGAAAGUGGAAGUCGCGGUGCAGCCGAUGCCAUGUACGCUGCACACCCUCGUGUCCAUCAUCAUGGACUGCGGCCACAAUUUCCUGGAGCAGGGGCGAAGAGGGCGGGAUGUAGAGGCGCCCGUCAAAGAGCACCAUGUCGUCCUUGACCGUCCAGGGCGCGGUUCUGGACCCUGCUCGGAUUUCGUCGUGAAUGGCGGCCAAGGCUGGGUCGACGGCCUGUGCGUGACGGAGGCGGCUGAUGAAGUCGAAGCGCGGAGCUGAGAUGGAGCAGAGGCCGCCCAUGCUGUCCUCCUCAGCAUCCCGGCGUGAGAGAGCGUCGGCCACCACAUUGGUCGCCCCGGACUUGUACUCCACCGCGAAAUUGAAGCCGAGCAACUUGCCGACCCAGUGAUGCUGGGGUAUGGUGGCCAGGCGUUGGUCCAAAAGAAAUUUGAGACUGUGAUGAUCAGUCUUGACGGUGAAGUGGCGCCCCCAUAAAUAUGGCCGCCAGUGGCGCACGGCAAGCACGAGGCCAAUAAGCUCCCGCUCGUAUGCCGCGAGGGAGCGAUGCCUGGGUGCCACCGGCCUGCUGAAGAAGGCGAUCGGGUGACCAUCUUGGAGAAGCACGGCGCCGAAACCAUAUGUCGACGCGUCGCACUCCACGACGAACGGUCUGGCAAAGUCGGGGAGGGCCAAGAUCGGCGCCGUGGUGAUCGCGGUCUUGAGGUUGCUGAACGACGCCUCAGCCGUAGUACUCCAGGUGAAGCCGUCCUUCAAGAGCGCCGUGAGGGGCGCGGCGAUGGAGCCGUAGUUGUGGACGAAUUUCCGAUAGUAGCCCGCCAAGCCCAGGAAGCCACGCACUGCCCGGGCGGAACGGGGACGGGGCCACUCAUGGAUGGCCUGGACCUUGGCGGGAUCCAUGGCGACGCCGGCGGCGGAGAUGGUGUGCCCCAAGUAGGCCACGGCGUCCACCCCAAAACAGCACUUGGUGCGUUUGACGAACAACCGGUGCUGCCGCAGGAGCUCGAAGACGAUGCGGAGGUGCCUGAGAUGAUCUGUCUAGGAGACGCUAUAGAUCAAGAUGUCAUCGAAAAAGACUAAGACAAAUCGCCGAAGGUAGGCCCGGAGAACGUCGUUCAUCAGUGCUUGGAACGUGGCCGGGGCGUUGCACAGCCCGAACGGCAUCACCAAAAACUCGUAGAGGCCGUCGUGGGUGCGGAAAGCCAUUUUGUGGACGUCCUCGGGCCGCAUCCGCACCUGGUGAUAGCCGGAGCGCAAAUCAGGCUUGGUGAAGUAGCGCGUGCCGUGAAGCUCGUCGAGGAGCUCGUCCACCACCGGAAUGGGAAAAGCGUCCUUGACGGUGAGCGCGUUGAGGGCGCGGUAGUCGACGCAGAAUCUCCAUGAGCCAUCGGCCUUGUGGACAAGGAGAGCCGGGGAUGAAAACGGCGAGUUACUGCGACGGACGACGCCCUGCUCCAGCAUCGCGGCGCACUGGCGUUCCAGUUCAUCUUUGUGCGCGGCCGGAUAACGGUACGGCCGUACCGCGACAGGGGCGGAGCCUGGCUUGAGGAUGAUGGCGUGGUCCCGUGUACGCGGCGGGGGAAGGCCGGAUGGUGCGGCGAAGAUGUCCUCGUAGGCGGCCAGGAGCUCGUCCAGGAGCGUCCCACUGGCCGCGGCGAUGGUACGUAGGCUGGCCGCGGCGGAUGACGGUAUGCCUGUCCAAGUGAUGGUUCGGCCGUCGAGCUGGAAGGACAUGGCACGCUCGGCAAAGUUCCACACGAUGUCGCCGAGCGUUCGCAUCCAGCAGGUACCCAGCACCACUUCGUACCCUGCAGGUGGCAUAACAAAGAGAUCGGUGUGGAAGGCGGUGCCGUUGAUGGAGAAGGGUGCGUUCCUGAUGACGCCCGGGCAGGCCACGCGCUCGCCGUUGGCGACCGUGGCUGUCAAACGGGGGCGAUCCUGGAUCGGUAAGCCAGUGAGGCGCGUCGCGUCCUCGCUGAUGAAGCUGUGCGUGGAGCCACUGUCGAGCAGCGCGAGGAGGGAGGCCGCCCCCACCGUCGUCGUGAUCUGGAUGGUGUCUGAGACGGGCACGCCAGCGACCGCAUGCAUGGAGUAGCACGACGCGUCGGCAGCAGGGUCCUCUGCGGUGGCGUCCGCUAUGGCCACAGGAUCGUCCGCGGCAUCGAUCUCCACCCCAUCCACGAAGAAGAGCCUCUUGCAGAAGCGAUUGUGACCCCUGGUGUAUGGUUCAUUGCAGUUGAAGCAGAGUCCUUGAUGGCGUCGUUCCGCCAUCUCGGCCGGGGACAGCCGACGUUGAGGGCCCUCUCCUCGGCCCUGCGGCGCGGCCUCUGGGGGUGCCGGCAGGGCCAGCGGUUGCUGGGGCGCCGGCAGUGCCGGACGCGGCGCUGGUGCGGCCAGCAGGCCACGCGCGGGUGCCCUGGUAGGAGGUGGUGCCGGCCGGGAUAGCUCCAUCAACUCCACCUGACGGGCCAGACUCAUAGCUUCGGCGAGGGUGGUUGGGUGAUGAAGGCGGACAGCGUGGCUCAGCGGCGGCAGAAGGCCACCCGUGUAAAGCUGAACACGCUGGUCCUCUUUGAGGCGUCCCGCUCGGGGCAAGAGGGCCUGGAACCGAUUGGAGUAGUCGUCGACGGUGUCCGUACGCCGGCAUUCGGCGAGCUCGAACAUUGGCGCGGAGCGGAGAGGGGGGCCAAAUCGUAGAUGCAGGAGGUCCUUGAAGUUGGUCCAGUUUGGCGUGCCCUCGUCCGUCUGCAGCUGGAUGAACCAAAGCUGCGCGACGUCGUCGAGGUGAUAGGAUGCCAUGGAAACGCGGUCGUCCACCGGGGUUCGGUGUUGACGGAAGUAGGCGUCGCAUUUGUUGAUGAAGAGGAGCGGAUCCGUCGUGCCGUCGAAGCGGGGAAAAUCCCACUUCUUGUGCUUCGGGUGAAAGUCCUGCUCGUGAGGGCCCCUUGGACGGCGAGCGUCGUCGCUGCCGGAAGAGGAGGCGAACUUCUCCUUCAUGGAGGCCAUGUCGGCUUUGAGGACCAGCAGCUCGGCGGACAUGGACUUCAUCUCAGCGAAGAGGUCGGCGAGCGUGGGUUCGGCCAUGGUGGAGCGUAGGGUGGACGAGGCCGAGGUUGCUGGGGAUGGCGGCGGCGGCUGUGAUGGGGCUGCGUCGGCGGCGGAAGUGGAUUGGGAGGAGUUUAGAUAAAUGAUCUUGCUUGCUUUAUUCCCAAAGUCCUUCUCUGAUACAUAUAGCCCAUCGGCUGAGAUUAGAAGGAAAGCAACUAAUCCUUUCCUAUAAUCUAGGAUCUAAUCAAAUCUCCCAACCAAUCUUUCCUAACUCAGCCUAGCCCCUGGCCGUGGCCUGGCCGUCGCGCGUGUCGAGCUGGGCGUGCUCUGCGCGCUCCUCAGCCCUUCUCACGUCACGGCUGCGCCUGCGGCGUACAUAAGAUUGGCCCCACAUGACAAUAGUCCUAUAGACUAUAUUGUAGGUUGUAGCUUUUGGAUUUUGGCCACUAUAAUUUGAACACCAGGAUUUGGCCCUAGUCUUGGUUAAAUCCUGGGCCCGCCACUGCAUGCGUGCUAAUAUAUUUCAUUUUGAUAUAGGAAUUUAUCAAAGCCAAGUAUGUCUUGUAGACACUAAAUCUGGUUCCUCCUGGAUCUUCAAAAUGGGCUUAUGGUUUGUGCUAUUUUUUUGACAUGUUGUUUGCUUCUGCAUGCAAGAAAAGGUGAGGAAUCUGGAGCACAAGAUUAAAGGGGAAGGUACAUGCUCAGGAACCUAGUAUGUUACUAAGUUUAGCUCCUAGGAUAUUAGCUCCAAGUGGCAUCAGUAUAGGAUAUUAGCUCAAAGCCCUUCAUGCAUAUCUCUAUUGUACAGAUAUAAUGGUACUAAAUUUUUAUUGACCUGAAUAUAUUAUUGUAUAUUGUAUAAUGAAAUCAUUUGACAGUUUUUAUUUAUGGGAUGUAAAUCCAAAUGGUCUCUAUGAUUUAUAUGUGACAUCUGCAUGAAUUGAGAUGCAUGUGUAUAUGAUUGGAAUGCACGGUGGUAAGCCAGAGAUACAUGUAUCUAUGUGCAGUGUAAUAAAAUGUUUAUAUGGAUGUCAUCAUUGUCAACUCAGUUUGCCAACUAGAAUACUAAAAUUUAUAUAUUAUUGGAAGACUUUUUGUUGCUCAUAUGCAUUUUCUUGAGGGCUAGCCUCCAAGGAAGUCGAAUUAUUAAGCCUAAUUAAUCCAUCAUUAGCACAUGUUGGUUACUGUAGCAACUAUGACUAAUCAUGGACUAAUUAGGUAUAAAAGAUUUAUCUCGCUAUUUUACACCCAAACUGUGCAAUUAGGUUUUAUCUACAUGUAAUGUUUCAUGCAUAUGUUGAAAGAUUCGAUAGGAUAGGUCUAAGCAAGGCCUAAGUAACAGAUAAAGUAAAACAAUAGCUUCUAGCUAGUAGGAAGAGAAAAUAGAUAGCAGCUGCCAUGACUUAUUAGCAUUGUGGGUGGAAUUGGCCAAUGGUAGGAGCACUUACCACUCAAAUCGGGGAACCAAGCA